RNAcentral lists this long non-coding RNA (200 nucleotides) under Lathyrus oleraceus (garden pea). RNAcentral's name for it is "Pisum sativum (pea) long non-coding RNA (PSAT_LNC016181)". The record is from RNAcentral. Lineage: Eukaryota; Viridiplantae; Streptophyta; Magnoliopsida; Fabales; Fabaceae.
UUGAUCUAACUUGUGGUUGCGAGCGUCUAACUCAGAUUUGGGUCCUAGUAGAGCGCCACCAACCAAAAUGCUUUGGCCUUCCACUUCCCUUAGUCUCUUCUUGCUGACCGCGAACUCCUCACAAACGUGCUUACCCUUGUCUUCCAAUGUGUGGUUACGUUCCUUAGCACAACCGAGUUGGACUCUUAGCUGAGUGUUUU